GAUGAACGCUGGCGGCGUGCUUAACACAUGCAAGUCGAACGGAGAAAGGGUAGCUUGCUAUCUUUUCUUAGUGGCGGACGGGUGAGUAACGCGUGGGUAACCUGCCCUUUGCAGGGGGAUAACAGUGAGAAAUCACUGCUAAUACCGCAUACCAACUUCUUUCGCAUGAAAGAAGUUUGAAAGAUUUAUCGGCAAAGGAUGGACCCGCGUUGGAUUAGCUAGUUGGUGAGAUAACAGCCCACCAAGGCAACGAUCCAUAGCCGGCCUGAGAGGGUGAACGGCCACACUGGGACUGAGACACGGCCCAGACUCCUACGGGAGGCAGCAGUGGGGAAUAUUGCACAAUGGGCGAAAGCCUGAUGCAGCGACGCCGCGUGAAGGAUGAAGGUCUUCGGAUUGUAAACUUCUAUCAGCAGGGAAGAAAGGGCCUAUGGCCUAUGACGGUACCUGACUAAGAAGCCCCGGCUAACUACGUGCCAGCAGCCGCGGUAAACAUA
Molecule: ribosomal RNA, 497 nt
Filed under: uncultured bacterium
Lineage: Bacteria
Description: bacterial SSU rRNA
Rfam family: Bacterial small subunit ribosomal RNA
Source: RNAcentral